UGAGAGAUGCCAUUCUAUGUAGAU
This 24-nucleotide non-coding RNA is filed under the name Mus musculus (house mouse). Lineage: Eukaryota; Metazoa; Chordata; Mammalia; Rodentia; Muridae. The record is from RNAcentral.